Molecule: microRNA precursor, 52 nt
Organism: Loxodonta africana (African savanna elephant)
Lineage: Eukaryota; Metazoa; Chordata; Mammalia; Proboscidea; Elephantidae
Rfam family: mir-1302 microRNA precursor family
Source: Rfam
UUUUUAGUAUAAAUAUGUCCUAUGUGAUAUUUAGGACAUACUUACACUAAAA